UGCCAGCAGCCGCGGUAAUACAGAGGGUGCAAGCGUUAAUCGGAAUGACUGGGCGUAAAGGGCGUGUAGGCGGAUACGUAAGUUAGAUGUAAAAUCCCUGGGCUUAACCUAGGAACGCCAUCUAAUACUGUGUAUCUUGAGUAUGGGAGAGGAAAGUGGAAUUUCCGGUGUAGCGGUGAAAUGCGUAGAUAUCGGAAGGAACACCAGUGGCGAAGGCGGCUUUCUGGCCCAAUACUGACGCUGAGGCGCGAAAGCGUGGGUAGCAAACAGGAUUAGAUA
This 279-nucleotide ribosomal RNA is filed under the name uncultured bacterium. RNAcentral describes it as "partial 16S ribosomal RNA". It matches the Rfam family "Bacterial small subunit ribosomal RNA", at positions 506 to 784 of the family's 1533-position model. The record is from RNAcentral.